Molecule: ribosomal RNA, 468 nt
Filed under: uncultured bacterium
Lineage: Bacteria
Description: partial 16S ribosomal RNA
Rfam family: Bacterial small subunit ribosomal RNA
Source: RNAcentral
GACGAACGCUGGCGGCGUGCUUAACACAUGCAAGUCGAACGGAAAGGCCCUGCUUUUGUGGGGUGCUCGAGUGGCGAAAGGGUGAGUAACACGUGAGUAACCUGCCCUUGACUUUGGGAUAACUUCAGGAAACUGGGGCUAAUACCGGAUAGGAGCUCCUGCUGCAUGGUGGGGGUUGGAAGGUUUCGGCGGUUGGGGAUGGACUCGCGGCUUAUCAGCUUGUUGGUGGGGUAGUGGCUUACCAAGGCUUUGACGGGUAGCCGGCCUGAGAGGGUGACCGGCCACAUCGGGACUGAGAUACGGCCCAGACUCCUACGGGAGGCAGGAGUGGGGAAUAAUGCACAAUGGGCGGAAGCCUGAUGCAGCAACGCCGCGUGCGGGAUGACGGCCUUCGGGUUUUAAACCGUUUUCGCCUGUGACGGAGCGUGAGGGACGGUUAUGUGUAGAGAAGCACCGGCUAACUACGUG